UGAUACCGAAAGUUGGUCGUAGUUUUCAAGAUGGCGUCUGUAAAUCUCCACGCAAGAAAUCGCAACGAAGACAAAAUAAUGUUAUUUUAUUGUUUUGACGAUGCAAAAGCUUACAUAAAAAGAAAUGAAAUUGAUACGAAUAACCUACAUAAAAAACUUUGGUAAUUCAGUUUUUACUUCAUCCUCCCAUAAGGUUUGUUGGGUCCAUGGGGUGAACCCUUACAUGUAUGUGAGCCUUGGACAUCAGGUUCUGAAAUGCCACCAUGUUACAGACAAGAAUAAGAAGACAAAACUGGAAAAGGAAAAAACAAAGACAGUUAGCAGUGAGCAACAUUCAUAUGCUAAAUAGAAAACAAGGCAUGCAGUGCAUCUCUCCAAAAAAUUGGACUGUCCUGCUUCUAUCAUUCUGAAGGAAGUGUUGAUAUUCACCCCUGAAGAGGGUUCAUCAAGCGAGCUGGACAAAAAAAUGGCUGCUUCUAAUGUGAGGAGUGAUCUGAGUAAAGGCAUCAAGAAGAUAAUGGUGGUGUUUCCUAACAUCGAACACAAGUACCAUACAAGUGGGGAGAACGCUGGGCUGUUGCAACGUAUCGACAGUGAUGUUGCCUCAAGAAUUAAAGAACUUGUGGUGGAAGAGGGCGUUGCAAAUGUUGAAGAAAUGCAACGCCAUCUUACCUCAUUUGUUAUGAAGAAUGUCACACCUGCUCCAUCAAGAACUAAAAGGAGAUUUGCCCCUACAAAAAAGUGAUCAGAUAUCACAUGAAUAAGGCAGCAAAGAAGGGUUGUGAUAGCAAUGAUGACCAACACAACUUAGUUCAGCUUGUGAAUGUGCUUAGUGUGUAAUUAACAAUUACUUCAAUACAGAUAUAUAUUUAUCACAUGCCAUACCCUGCUUCCCCUUGUAAUAUAACCAUUACGAAUAUUUUUAUCUUACACAUGUGUAAUAUACUUUUUAAGGAUUUUCAUUGGCUUAUUUUCGUUUGAUUGACCAAUCGCAUUUUGUUAUGUUGCUGAAAUAACAUUGCAAUGUCAAAUGACGUCACGAAAUGUAAACAACAUUUCGGAUUUAUCAUUAAGUUUGGGAAAAUAUUUUAAAAAAUUUUUGUGUCCGGAGCCAUAUCUUGGAAGAACUUUGGCGGAUUUCAUUGAAACUUGGUAUGAGUAUAAAUAUGGAUAAGAGGAUGAUACAUAACAUUUGACAGAGUUAUACAUCUCAUUAAGCGAAAUUUAAGAAAUUGUGUUAUUAUAUUUUCAUAAAUUACUUUUCGGCCUAAGAUGCUAAGGUCAUACAUUGUUUUGUAAACGAAACAUGCGACAUAAUUUUCCUUUAUCGUUUACAUUUGUUGUAAAUAGUGAGCAUAUUAAAAUUCUGAUGUCUGAUAUUAAUUUGCCUCUUGUGAAUAGAUUUGUACCAUUGUUUUGUUAAAUGGACCUUUUCACGUUUUGGUUAAUUGACGAAAUUGAUUUUUUUUUCAGAUUUCAAAAUUUUCGUUGUAGUUUUAUUUUUGCGAGGAAUCGGUAAUACUGAACAUUUACUAAGCUCUACAGUAUUACAGUAUUUGCAUAUUUUGAUGAUUUAAACACAUUAAAAAUUUAAAGCAUUACGAAGGAAUAAUUUGGCGAGUUCUGUUGUUAUCAUUAUAUUUUGUGACAGUACGAUGAUUGCUGAUAUAAAUCAUAACAUAAACAUAUUACUUACUAUACGAUCACAGAUGGGCGAGUUGUUUAAGUUCUAGUCUUUUACUCAAAUGGUCAGUUGUUUAAGACUAGUUAAGGAUAACUUUUUUAUCUUUGAUUUUAUUCUUGUUCAAUUAUUGAGCUAUUUAAUUCCGAUGUAAAUAUUUAUUUUUUUACA
This is a long non-coding RNA of Dreissena polymorpha, 1852 nucleotides long. RefSeq lists it as uncharacterized. The transcript has 5 exons. The record is from RefSeq and is a predicted model, not a curated record. NCBI's taxonomy places the organism in Eukaryota, Metazoa, Mollusca, Bivalvia, Myida, Dreissenidae.